RNAcentral lists this ribosomal RNA (492 nucleotides) under uncultured bacterium. RNAcentral's name for it is "bacterial SSU rRNA". It matches the Rfam family "Bacterial small subunit ribosomal RNA", at positions 28 to 530 of the family's 1533-position model. The record is from RNAcentral.
GACGAACGCUGGCGGCGUGCUUAACACAUGCAAGUCGAACGGACGAGUGAGAUAAGUUUACUUAACUCACAAGUUAGUGGCGGACGGGUGAGUAACACGUGGAUAAUCUACCUGCAACACCGGGAUAACGCUGUGAAAACGGUGCUAAUACCGGAUACGUUCCCUUGUGCGCAUGUAUGAGGGAAGAAAGCUCAGGCGGUUGCAGAUGAGUCCGCGGCUGAUUAGCUAGUUGGUGAGGUAAAGGCUCACCAAGGCGAUGAUCAGUAGCCGGCCUGAGAGGGUGAACGGCCACACUGGGACUGAGACACGGCCCAGACUCCUACGGGAGGCAGCAGUGGGGAAUCUUCCGCAAUGGGCGCAAGCCUGACGGAGCAACGCCGCGUGGGUGAAGAAGGCCUCGGUUGUAAGCCUGUCUAUGGAGAAGUCAGUGACGGUACCAUAGGAGGAAGCCACGGCUAACUACGUGCCAGCAGCCGCGGUAAAGUAACUCUA